AACGCUAGCUACAGGCUUAACACAUGCAAGUCGAGGGGAAACGACAUCGAAAGCUUGCUUUUGAUGGGCGUCGACCGGCGCACGGGUGAGUAACGCGUAUCCAACCUGCCCGCCACUUGGGAAUAACCUUGCGAAAGUAAGACUAAUACCCAAUGAUAUCUCUAGAAGACAUCUGAAAGAGAUUAAAGAUUUAUCGGUGAUGGAUGGGGAUGCGUCUGAUUAGCUUGUUGGCGGGGUAACGGCCCACCAAGGCGACGAUCAGUAGGGGUUCUGAGAGGAAGGUCCCCCACAUUGGAACUGAGACACGGUCCAAACUCCUACGGGAGGCAGCAGUGAGGAAUAUUGGUCAAUGGACGAGAGUCUGAACCAGCCAAGUAGCGUGCAGGAAGACGGCCCUAUGGGUUGUAAACUGCUUUUAUAAGGGAAUAAAGUGAGUCUCGUGAGACUUUUUGCAUGUACCUUAUGAAUAAGGACCGGCUAAUUCCGUGCCAGCAGCCGCGGUAAUACGGAAGGUCCGGGCGUUAUCCGGAUUUAUUGGGUUUAAAGGGAGCGUAGGCCGGAGAUUAAGCGUGUUGUGAAAUGUAGACGCUCAACGUCUGCACUGCAGCGCGAACUGGUUUCCUUGAGUACGCACAAAGUGGGCGGAAUUCGUGGUGUAGCGGUGAAAUGCUUAGAUAUCACGAAGAACUCCGAUUG
RNAcentral lists this ribosomal RNA (696 nucleotides) under uncultured Bacteroidales bacterium. Its description in RNAcentral is "bacterial SSU rRNA". It matches the Rfam family "Bacterial small subunit ribosomal RNA", at positions 32 to 715 of the family's 1533-position model. Lineage: Bacteria; Pseudomonadati; Bacteroidota; Bacteroidia; Bacteroidales. The record is from RNAcentral.